GCCUAUAAAUUAUAUAUUAUUCUAUAAUACACAUAUUUUUACUAAUAAAAUAAAAUUCUUCGAAACAUAUGUAAGUGGGGUCUAGUUUUGUUCGUCUCGUCGCAUAGAACACAGUGAUGCAAACACAAAUAAAAAUAGAUACACUUUUUAGAAGUUAUAACAUUUUGAAAUAAAUGUUUUGCUUUUUUCAACAUGACAUCAGCGAUGAUGUCAACGCAGGGGAGGGAGUUAAACUCUAUCGUUUGUUGUUGGAUGGUUCGCUGGGAAAAGAAAAGAAAACGAGAACGGAAAAGGAAAAAAAAAGACGCGGUCGGAUCGUUCGCUGGGAAAGAAAACUCUGAACGACCCGAAAAGUGGAAUUGGGAUCGUUUUUGCACGAUAGAAUAUGCGAAGAUUAACAAACACACACACGGAAUAAGAGUGCAAGAUAACCGGACGUGGGAGAUCGAUCUGUUCAGAUCGCUUUACAUGUUGGAAACUUGGAAUCAUCAAUGAUUCUGUAGGCCAGUAAUCGUUGUAGAUAUGAACAUGGCAAAAUCAGCUCGCC
Molecule: long non-coding RNA, 547 nt
Filed under: Sorghum bicolor (sorghum)
Lineage: Eukaryota; Viridiplantae; Streptophyta; Magnoliopsida; Poales; Poaceae
Description: long non-coding RNA (SBIC_LNC001688)
Source: RNAcentral